GCACCACCAGGGGUGAAGCUUGCGGUUUAAUUGGAGUCAACACCGGAAACCUUACCGGGAGCGACAGCAGAGUGAAGGCCAGAUUGAGGGUCUUGCCAGACAAGCUGAGAGGAGGUGCAUGGCCGUCGCCAGUUCGUGCCGUGAGGUGUCCUGUUAAGUCAGGCAACGAUCGAGACCCACUUCCCCUGUUGCCACUGAGGAAAAAUUCUGAUGGGCACUCUGGGGGGACUGCCGCUGAUAAAGCGGAGGAAGGAGGGGGCCACGGCAGGUCAGUAUGCCCCGAAACUCCUGGGCCACACGCGGGCUGCAAUGGUAGGGACAAUUGGUUCCGACUUCGAAAGAAGGAGGCAAUCCGCAAACCCUACCCCAGUUGUGAUUGAGGAUUGAAACCCGUCCUCAUGAAUAUGGAAUCCCUAGUAACCGCGUGUCAUCACCGCGCGGUGAAUACGUCCCUGCUCCUUGCACACACCGCCCGUCGCUUCACCCGAGUUUGGCUUUGACGAGGUCGUCUCCUAUUGGGGCGAUCGAAUCUAAGUUAGGCAAGGGGGGAG
Molecule: ribosomal RNA, 551 nt
Filed under: uncultured archaeon AM-9
Lineage: Archaea
Description: bacterial SSU rRNA
Rfam family: Archaeal small subunit ribosomal RNA
Source: RNAcentral